This 161-nucleotide small nucleolar RNA is filed under the name Rasamsonia emersonii CBS 393.64. Lineage: Eukaryota; Fungi; Ascomycota; Eurotiomycetes; Eurotiales; Trichocomaceae. The record is from RNAcentral.
AUUCGGGUUGAUAACUAGGCGACGGCCUCAAUUCUUAACCCACUCCACGACGUUCGCCUUUUAAGUGCCCGAGAUAUUAAAUUUGUGAACCUUGGCGGGGAUCUUACACGUUUCCGGGUUUUGCUUCCAUGCUUGGCAACGUUUAAAUUUCCGCCACAUUG